UACAGAGGUCUCGAGCGUUGUUCGGAUUCAUUGGGCGUAAAGGGUGCGUAGGUGGCGUGGUAAGUCUGGUGUGAAAUCCCCGGGGGCUCAACCCCGGAACUGCACUGGAUACUGCCAUGCUUGAGUACUGGAGAGGAGAUUGGAAUUUACGGUGUAGCAGUGAAAUGCGUAGAUAUCGUAAGGAAGACCAGUGGCGAAGGCGAAUCUCUGGACAGUUACUGACACUGAGGCACGAAGGCCAGGGGAGCAAACGGGG
This 256-nucleotide ribosomal RNA is filed under the name uncultured bacterium. RNAcentral describes it as "partial 16S ribosomal RNA". It matches the Rfam family "Bacterial small subunit ribosomal RNA", at positions 524 to 777 of the family's 1533-position model. The record is from RNAcentral.